This 497-nucleotide ribosomal RNA is filed under the name uncultured bacterium. RNAcentral describes it as "partial 16S ribosomal RNA". It matches the Rfam family "Bacterial small subunit ribosomal RNA", at positions 28 to 507 of the family's 1533-position model. The record is from RNAcentral.
GAUGAACGCUGGCGGCGUGCUUAAUACAUGCAAGUCGAGCGAACAGACGAGGAGCUUGCUCCUCUGACGUUAGCGGCGGACGGGUGAGUAACACGUGGAUAACCUACCUAUAAGACUGGGAUAACUUCGGGAAACGGGAGCUAAUACCGGAUAAUAUAUUGAACUGCAUGGUUCAAUAGUGAAAGACGGUUUUGCUGUCACUUAUAGAUGGAUCCGCGCCGCAUUAGCUAGUUGGUAAGGUAACGGCUUACCAAGGCAACGAUGCGUAUCCGACCUGAGAGGGUGAUCGGCCACACUGGGAGUGAGACACGGUACAGAGUCCUACGGGAGGCAGCAGUAGGGAAUCUUGCGCAAUGGGCGGAAGCCUGACGGAGCAGCGCCGCGUGAGUGAUGAAGGUCUUCGGAUCGUAAAACUCUGUUAUUGGGGAAGAACAAAUGUGUAAGUAACUAUGCACGUCUUGACGGUACCUGAUCAGAAAGCCACGGCUAACUACGUG